Molecule: transfer RNA, 67 nt
Filed under: Pleuropoma jana
Lineage: Eukaryota; Metazoa; Mollusca; Gastropoda; Cycloneritida; Helicinidae
Description: tRNA-Ala
Source: RNAcentral
GGUACUAUACUUUAAAUUUAAAAGGAUUAAUUUGCAUUUGAUUAUUGAGUUAUUAACUCUAGUUCCA